Bactrocera tryoni is the source of this 262-nucleotide long non-coding RNA. RefSeq lists it as uncharacterized. The transcript has 2 exons. The record is from RefSeq and is a predicted model, not a curated record. NCBI's taxonomy places the organism in Eukaryota, Metazoa, Arthropoda, Insecta, Diptera, Tephritidae.
UGAUCUUUCUAACGGCAGUGAGAACACUGUUGGGUUAUGAAAUGCUUAAAUAUAAUCUAAUCUUUUAAAUUUUCGAUCUGAACAUCGUAUUAACCCCGAAAGCGCCAUCGUCGACAAUGCUAAAAGAAAUCUUCAUAUUGCCUAUCCCGACAGUUAUUUUUGAUUGGCGAAGAAUCAGUGCUGAAAUCAUAUCAAAAUUUCUAAAAAUGUAAAUCUAAAAUGUUAUGUUUUACCGCAUUAAACAUUUGUUUUCGUAACAUCA